RNAcentral lists this ribosomal RNA (468 nucleotides) under uncultured bacterium. RNAcentral's name for it is "partial 16S ribosomal RNA". It matches the Rfam family "Bacterial small subunit ribosomal RNA", at positions 28 to 507 of the family's 1533-position model. The record is from RNAcentral.
GAUGAACGCUGGCGGCGUGCUUAACACAUGCAAGUCGAACGGAAAGGCCCUGCUUUUGUGGGGUUCUCGAGUGGUGAACGGGCGCGUAACACGUUAGUAACCUGCCCUUGACUUUAGGAUAACUUCAGGAAACUGGGGCUAAUACCGUAUAGCAGCUCCUGCUGCAUGGUGGGCGUUGGAAAGUGUCGGCGGAUGGGGAUGGUCUCGCGGCUGAUGAGUUUGUUGGUGGGGUAGUGGCUUACCAGGGCUUUCACGGGUAGCCGGCCUGAGAGGGUGACCGGCAAAAUGAGGACUGUGCUACGGCACAGAGUCGUACGGGAGGCAGCAGUGGGGAAUAUUGCCCAAUGGGCGGAAGUCGGAUGCAGGAACGCCGCGUGCGGGAUGACGGACUGCUGGUAGAAAACAGCUUUCGCCUGUGACGAAGCGUUAGUGACGGUACUGGAUGAAGAAGCACCGGCUAACUACGUG